AUGCACAGAGGAAGAGAACGAACUUCAUAUAUCCCUUUUUUACUCAAUCAAGAAACAAGAUCGGACGUGAUUCUGGUUCGUCUCCAUUUUAGUGACACUCUUCCUCAAGCAAGGCAGCCGAUAAGUCAUCGAAGGGUUUGUUUGAAUAAUGGACUGGUAACCAUUACUCAUUUGAAAGUUUCCCACGGUGAUCUAAUAUCUUUAAAGAAAAUGACGCGAGAACCCGCGGUUUUGAAAUAA
Molecule: ribosomal RNA, 240 nt
Filed under: Triticum aestivum (bread wheat)
Lineage: Eukaryota; Viridiplantae; Streptophyta; Magnoliopsida; Poales; Poaceae
Description: partial small subunit ribosomal RNA
Source: RNAcentral